This is a long non-coding RNA of Drosophila subobscura, 4009 nucleotides long. RefSeq lists it as uncharacterized. The transcript has 3 exons. NCBI's taxonomy places the organism in Eukaryota, Metazoa, Arthropoda, Insecta, Diptera, Drosophilidae. The record is from RefSeq and is a predicted model, not a curated record.
AUACUAAAAAAUCGUAUCUUCAAAAAAUACAACCAAAAAAACUAUCGUCAGCGCAGUCGCAGUCGCAGUCAUACAUUUCAACUCUCACAUCAGAUAUCAGAUCGGAUCAGCCAGAAGGAGCUGAGGAGCAAGCAGGACGGAGCAGAACGCGGAACAGAACUAACGAUAGUCGAUAACACCAAUAAACGAUAACUAUAACAACCAUCGAACCACACCACAAGGAAGCGAAGCGGACUCAACUGUACCAAUGGUGCGAGCGGAGGCAGAAGCAGAACGAACAUUCAAAGAAGAGUAGCAAGAGGAACAGAAGAAUGAAUGAAAACAACCAGCAAAGCAAGAACAACAACAACAGAGAGCAGUGUCGCCAGAUCAUCAGAGAUUCGGUGAUUAGUCAGUCAGUCAGUUAGUCAAUAAAGAAUGGAUGCAAUUGCAGAAAAGCAGCCAAGGAGAAAAGUGGAUCGGGGAGUGACCGCCAAUGGGCGGUUGACCCCCGAGGCCGGACAAUGCAACCGGAUGCACGUAGCGCCUGCGUCCGGGCGCGUGUCACAUGGAUACAAGUCACAAGAGCGCGCGAACAGCGAACAAGUUGGCGCGCGAUUAAAUAGAAAAGUUGCCUCAACGGACAAGUACAAGGUGUGUGCGGCCAAGGACAUGGACAGACGAGGAAAUUGGGGAAAAUGGGGUGUUAGCACAGUGCUCUCGCUCUGUCUCUCUCACUCAGAGCAUCUCAAAACUCACCCACACAGACACAUACACAAGCACACACAGACCAUCACGGCAUCAAUCAUACGCCCCGUAGAACGAGUCACACACACGCAGACACAGAUACACUCACGGACACACACACACCAGCACAUCGCACUUUGCUUGUCAUGCAGCAGUAACUAAACCAAACAUCAAAAAAGUCGAGACGACGCCCGCGGAAAAUUGCAUUUCUGUAUUAACCCCAAUAGCAAGUAAGAGGAGAAUAAGAGUAACAUCAGCAUCGAAAACACCAAUCAACAACCAACAACAAAGUCACGAACGAUGCGCGAAAUACUGUUACAACAACAACAACAACAGCAUCACAAAAACGAGGAUGCAAGGCAGAGAGAGUGAAUCUCUACCGGAGGAAGGAAUCUCAGCAGCAUACCGCAACAUACAGCGGAAUGAAUGGCAGCGAGAGAGGCAGCAGCGGCAGCAGCGGCAGCAGCAGCAGCAGGCGGCGAGUACUCGUAGGAAGCGGAAUAAAAGAGGAAGCGGAAGCACAGGCGGAAGCUGAAGCGAAAGCGGAAGCAGACGCGGCAGAAGUAAAAGUUUAAUUAAAUUAAAUUCAAUUCAAUUAAAUUACUUAUUACAAUGAUAUCUUGAAGUGUUCAUGUAUUCGAAUGUAGGUUAACUAAGUCAAGCAUACAAAUAAUUCUAUACAUAUGUAUAUGAAUCCAUAUAUAUAUAUAUUAUAUAUAUAUAGAUAACAACUUUUUUUUUUCUAACUCUAAGCAUUUGUAUUACUCGCUAAACAAAUGAACAACAAAAACAAAACCGCAAACAAAUGAAAACAAACAAAAAAACCUAAAAAAAAAUACCGAAAAAAUGAAAACCGAAAACGUAAUUUUUUGUAUACAAAUGGGGUGAAAACGAGAAAAAAAAACAACUAAAAACAAUGAGCAGAUAAAAGAUAAACCAAACGAACAAAAAAUAUCAGUAAAUAUCAAGAAAGAGUUCAGAGCAAUGGAAAAGGGAGAAGAAGGAAGCGAAAAAACUAGAAGGAGAAAAUACCAUGAAAUAAGCAUUAAUACCGAAACCGAACAAAGAACGAUAAAAAAAAAACAAAAACAACCAAAAAUACACUUACAUAAUUUAAUUAGAUCGAAACUUUAGCGCGCAUCACAUAUACAUACACACAACCGAUACAUAAAUACAUACAAACAAACAUAUAACCGAAACAACAGACAGACAGUAACUCAGAUACAGAUACAGACACCCAGACACCAGACGGAGACACUCAUGGAGUAAUAUUUUCAACUUAUAAAAGAAGACAAAGAUAAGAUGUUCAUGCAUACAACCACACACACACACACACACACACACAACACACACACACAGACACACAAACAAGUAAAUAUACAUAUAUAAAGUAUAUAUACAUACAUAGUAUAUAAAUUAUAUAUUAUUAUCAAUCAUUCAGCAACAAAAAGAGAGCAGCAAAACAUUCACAGCAUAAAUCAAUUAACUCAACUUAUAAUAGAGCAUACUCAGAUAUUCUCUCUCUCUCUCUCUCUCUCUAUGAAAAUAUGCCUUAUACUCAACCACACACAACCAUAAGAAAAUACCAAAAACAAUUUAAAAAAACAAAAACAUUACGAAGAAAAGGGGAAACAUACCAAAAGAUAAUGCUUUGCCACAUAAAUCAAUUGUAAUCAUAAAUGAUAAUACAUAUAAUUAAUAUUAAAAGUAAUAUUGAUAAUAAUUCAGACUUGAUUUCGACAAUUGCUCCCUCGCACACAGUCAAAGGGCAUUGCAGCAGCUCCAGCUACCCCCGCCCUGGAUUUACCGCCACGCCCCAGAACACACUCACUUUUGUAGCCUUAGAUCCACCAACCCAUCAGCCACAUACAUACAAUCGUACUCGUAAUCCACUCCACAUAGAACUCGUCUCGACUCGACUCGAUUCGAUUUCAUAAUGUGCUGCAAAUUGUAAUAUCCGUCCAAGAAACCUUUUUGAAGCGCACCCCCUUUGAGUUCAGGCAAUCUUCUCUAUUUAUCAUCUCCAUGCGACUUUUCAUUCCCUACUUCCUUCCUGUUAGCCCUGCGUUUCUCAAUUAAUACAAAUACCAAAGUGAAAAGGACCAAAACAAAGUUACAGAUGCCUCAAACGUUUUUUCAAUUUGCUCCACAGGUCUCCCUCAUCCUACCUAUCUACCAUUACCAUUCUACAAUUUUUCUUUUAAUAUAUCUCUCUGAAAAGGACGACCAAUGACGAACCACAGACACAGCCAGACGAAGCCAAGCCAAUAAAUGCAAAAUGUCACUGCCAAACAAUAAUAACACAAAAAUCAAAGUAAAAUAGUUAACCCACAGAUAGAUAAUGGCUAAGCUCAGGGUGGCUAAGAAAAUUGGGGAAGGGCAGGGAUGGACAGGGACAGGGAAUGUGGUAAAAAGCAGCUGCAAUGCCCCAUAAAAACAGGAAUUGGCGCCGAAAAAAUAAUGUUCCUUGUCUCGAAUUCGAACUCUGAAUUAGGAAUUGCCGAUGAAUGUGCUCGCUCACAAGGAAUUAAUCCGCUCACUCUUUAUUUAUUCUGGCAACUAAUUCAUCUACCAUACUUAUUUUCUUUGUUUGUUUCAUCUAAUCACAUCAUACAGCAUACUCAAAGACGCAUUAGAUUUUAGCCAAUGGAAAUGUAGGGGAAAGGCAGUAAGCGGAAAGCGUGGUGGGAAAACGAAUCGAGUCCCUAUGAAUCUCAAAGUGGAGAUGGAGAUGGAGGAGGAGGAGGAGGAGGAGGAGAAGCGGGAGAGCAUGUAGUCGAUGCAAAAAAACAAUAAUUAUAACAAUAAAUGGUAAUAAGUAAUUUUAGCGUAUUUUUUUUAACUGCUUAUAGCCAACGUAAGUGUAGUUCAAAACUGAACAUAUGUAUGUAUGUAAAUCAGCUGAAGAAGAAGAAGGGAGAGUACUUUCUUUUGUCAUAGUUUUUUUUUGGUCGUCCUCGAGGAUAAGUAUUAGAUUGUAAGCACACUCAGACACACACUGAACAGAACAGAACAGAACAGACACACACACAACAAUAAACUCACACACUGAAAUGAUAAACGAAAAGCAAAAGCAAAAAGCAAAAGCAAAGAAUGUACUUGUAUAAAUAUCGUGGGGAGAUCGUAAGCUAAAGGGUUACUUACUCGCAAAACAUUUAUGUAAUUAUAGUGGAGGAAGUGAAGGAAUACCAUACCAAAACGUAAGCAUAUUACAAGGAAAUUGCCAUUAGUCGAUAGUGUUAAAAGCGAUACGUAUGAUCUACUCACACUUAUACGAGUAUAU